AAACCAACAGGGAUUACCUCAGUAACGGCGAGUGAAGCGGUAACAGCUCAAAUUUGAAAUCUGGCCUCACGGUCCGAGUUGUAAUUUGUAGAGGAUGCUUCGGGCGUGGUCCGGUCUAAGUUCCUUGGAACAGGACGUCAUAGAGGGUGAGAAUCCCGUAUGUGACCGGGUGCCGCUGUCCAUGUGAAGCUCCUUCGACGAGUCGAGUUGUUUGGGAAUGCAGCUCAAAAUGGGUGGUAAAUUUCAUCUAAAGCUAAAUAUUGGCCAGAGACCGAUAGCGCACAAGUAGAGUGAUCGAAAGAUGAAAAGCACUUUGGAAAGAGAGUUAAACAGUACGUGAAAUUGUUGAAAGGGAAGCGCUUGCAACCAGACUUGCACGCGGUCGAUCAUCCUGCCUUCUGGCUGGUGCACUCGAUCGCGUUCAGGCCAGCAUCGGUUUUGGUGGUUGGAUAAAGGCUCUGGGAAUGUAGCUUCUCUCGGGGAGUGUUAUAGCCCAGGGUGCAAUGCAGCCUACCGGGACCGAGGACCGCGCUUCGGCUAGGAUGCUGGCGUAAUGGUUGUAAGCGAC
RNAcentral lists this ribosomal RNA (568 nucleotides) under Ascomycota sp. RNAcentral describes it as "partial large subunit ribosomal RNA". It matches the Rfam family "Eukaryotic large subunit ribosomal RNA", at positions 62 to 648 of the family's 3401-position model. The record is from RNAcentral. Lineage: Eukaryota; Fungi; Ascomycota.